UGAGGAAUAUUGGUCAAUGGACGGAAGUCUGAACCAGCCAAGUCGCGUGCAGGAAUACGGCCCUAUGGGUUUUAAACUGCUUUUAUACGAGGAUAAAAGACGUUAUGUAUAGCGUAUUGCAGGUAUCGUAUGAAUAAGGAUCGGCUAACUCCGUG
This 155-nucleotide ribosomal RNA is filed under the name uncultured bacterium. RNAcentral's name for it is "partial 16S ribosomal RNA". It matches the Rfam family "Bacterial small subunit ribosomal RNA", at positions 355 to 507 of the family's 1533-position model. The record is from RNAcentral.